Daphnia carinata is the source of this 1301-nucleotide long non-coding RNA. RefSeq lists it as uncharacterized. The transcript has 3 exons. The record is from RefSeq and is a predicted model, not a curated record. Lineage: Eukaryota; Metazoa; Arthropoda; Branchiopoda; Diplostraca; Daphniidae.
UUGCGCAAAGGGCUAAGACUCCGAGGAAGAAAUUCAGUGCAUUGGAAGCAGAACGAGUCGCAGAAAUAUGAUGCUUCUAUUUUCGGCGGAAGACAUUUCUUUACGGAACAAUAAAUCCUGCUAUUAGUAGACGGCUGUGGUAAUUGAUAACAAAGGCUGUUGGUGAGCAACAAAAAAAUUUCAAAAAAGCGAGAACAAAUUCUUGGAUGGUUUUGCUUCACAGGACACCUUUGUGCUUUCUUCCAUAGUUCCAUGGAUGAAAAUUCCAUUUAAAAUGAGCCAUAUUUGUAUUUGUUAGUGAUGAUCCGGGAAUCUUCGGUUUUCAUGUUUGCCAUAGGACUCUGUACUUGGGAGUGGCAUUAUCCGAAGAUAACACAACAUAUCUCUUUCGGUCGCUUGUAUAUCAUGUCCCCUGAUUUUGAACGGCGCAAGUUGCAGCGCAACGGUAAUCUGGGCACCCUCCCCAUUGGCAAUUGAUUGUCAAGAUACCUUGGUUUUCAGUUCCAUCCAGCAAAAUUUAAUUAGUGGUAAGAAAUAAUUGAUCAUUCAGCACUUAAGCAACCAUUUAUUAUUAUUCAGAUAAUGGCGGUUGGUGCUUGCGCCAUGACGGUCAUCUGGUGGUGCAAUCGAGAACUAUCAAACAUUGAAUGAACUCGUUGACAUGUCAUUUCUCAAGUCUGCGUAAAGAGUCAAAGACGUAGCGACACUCAGUAUCCAUUGCAAAUUUUACGUUUUUGCUGGAUGGCGAAGCUUUUCGUGGUAUCGGUAUUCUGUUAUUUUCGUUUCAAAUUAUACCUCAGCCUAAACAGAAUAUUGACUAAGAUCUAAAUCAGAUUUAUUUGCGGGCACAGUCAGUUUUAAGGCUAAUAAUAUUUGCACUUCAUUGAAUUGUGUUUUGUUCAGCAUCGUCAUCAUUUUUGUUUAUUUAUAUGCCAACCAUUCCUUUUUUAAAUUCGUACUGCAGAAAACCAUGACAAAAUGGCCGUCGUAUACUGGAGACAUCUAACAGAAAAGUUACGAACUCGUGAUUUGAUGGAAGUGUCAGCUGUUCUCUUACUCCUAGCGUUGCUCAGGAUCACAAUUACAAUGGACGUGUACUUGGUUGAAAUUUACCUGCUGACCUGUAUUUCGGCGUGUGGACGUAACGUUCGUUUUCUCUUUUCCACCUAAUUGGUACCGGAAAGAGAUGUCCCUUUUUGCGUUUGCAAGGAUAUUCUUCAGUGAAAAUGAGUAAUGCCAGUAGAAACUCUUCAUUUCUUCACAAAAAAGUUUGGCUUAAGACAAAAAUAAGACUUCAUUGG